Molecule: ribosomal RNA, 792 nt
Filed under: Triticum aestivum (bread wheat)
Lineage: Eukaryota; Viridiplantae; Streptophyta; Magnoliopsida; Poales; Poaceae
Description: partial small subunit ribosomal RNA
Source: RNAcentral
AUGACACAAGGUUUCUGCGAUAAAUAUGAGAAACUUAUCCGGAACUUCUGGUGGGGAGAAGAAAAUGGGCAGAGGAAAGUCCACUGGAUGUCUUGGGAGAGAAUGAUCAAGCCUAAAAGAGGAGGGGGUAUCGGUUUUAGAGAUAUGAAACUCUUCAACCAAGCUUUGUUAGCGAGAAAAGCUUGGAGACUUAUUCAGUGGCCCGAUAGUCUAUGCGCGAGAGUGCUGAAAUCAAAAUACUAUCCUAAGGGGGAGCUGCUGGACACGGUUUUUGCUUCUGAUGCUUCUCCGGUUUGGCGAGGCAUUGAGCAUGGUCUCGAGCUCCUGAAGGAGGGCAUUGUUUGGAGGAUCGGAAAUGGGAGAAAGGUUAAUAUCCAGCGGGACCGGUGGAUCCCUCGUGAGAGUGGUCUGAAACCUGCUAACCUCAUUCGUCGAUCCAGAUUGUGUUGGGUGAAUCAAUUGAUGCUUGCAGAUGGAAGUGGAUGGAAUUCGGAACUGAUUCACCAGCUAUUUUAUGGUUUUGAUGCGGAUGCGAUAUGUAGCAUCAGGAUCCCGAAUUCGGCUGCGGAGGAUACUUUGGCGUGGAAUUGUGAGAAGUCUGGAGUUUUCACUGUCCGGAGUGCAUAUAAGUGGCGGCCUCUCUUCAAGAUCAGUCUGAGGGUGCGGCAUCGAGUUCUACGAACACAUCACACAACCGUAGCAUUUGGGACAUCAUCUGGAAGGCCAAGGUACCAGAAAAGAUCAAAAUCUUCGGGUGGAGGACGGCCACCAAUACGCUGCCGACCAAGCUGA